RNAcentral lists this unclassified non-coding RNA (285 nucleotides) under Hevea brasiliensis (rubber tree). Lineage: Eukaryota; Viridiplantae; Streptophyta; Magnoliopsida; Malpighiales; Euphorbiaceae. The record is from RNAcentral.
CUGCUCACUACAGGUACUGAGGGGGAAGUGUGGAGGCUUGAUUUUCACAACUUAGUGAUUUAUGGUUAGGAAAAUUUUAAGGGUUUUGUUUUACUUUUUGAAGUGUUUUGGGGUUGGUGGUUUGAAGGGGAAAAGGGUCUGUAUGUUGAAGAAAGACCCAUUGUAUGGGAUGAAUAAGGAAGGUUAGAUUUGGCUGUGUGUGAAAAACAUUACUGGUUUUUGUUUGUUGUUUUAUUUUUUUGCUGAAUCUGUGUCAUCGUUUUUAUCGGUGAGAAAGAAAGAGGG